AUUGAACGCUGGCGGCAGGCCUAACACAUGCAAGUCGAGCGGUAGCACAGGGAGCUUGCUCCUGGGUGACGAGCGGCGGACGGGUGAGUAAUGUCUGGGAAACUGCCUGAUGGAGGGGGAUAACUACUGGAAACGGUAGCUAAUACCGCAUAACGUCGCAAGACCAAAGAGGGGGACCUUCGGGCCUCUUGCCAUCAGAUGUGCCCAGAUGGGAUUAGCUAGUAGGUGGGGUAACGGCUCACCUAGGCGACGAUCCCUAGCUGGUCUGAGAGGAUGACCAGCCACACUGGAACUGAGACACGGUCCAGACUCCUACGGGAGGCAGCAGUGGGGAAUAUUGCACAAUGGGCGCAAGCCUGAUGCAGCCAUGCCGCGUGUAUGAAGAAGGCCUUCGGGUUGUAAGGUACUUUCAGCGGGGAGGAAGGCGAUAAGGUUAAUAACCUUGUCGAUUGACGUUACCCGCAGAAGAAGCACCGGCUAACUCCGUGCCAGCAGCCGCCGUAA
RNAcentral lists this ribosomal RNA (504 nucleotides) under uncultured bacterium. RNAcentral's name for it is "partial 16S ribosomal RNA". It matches the Rfam family "Bacterial small subunit ribosomal RNA", at positions 30 to 523 of the family's 1533-position model. The record is from RNAcentral.